Molecule: unclassified non-coding RNA, 324 nt
Filed under: soil metagenome
Description: partial contains 5.8S ribosomal RNA, internal transcribed spacer 2, and large subunit ribosomal RNA
Rfam family: 5.8S ribosomal RNA (bases 1-120)
Source: RNAcentral
GAUGAAAAACGCAGCGAAAUGCGAUAAGUAAUGCGAAUUGCAGAAUUCAGUGAGUCAUCGAAUCUUUGAACGCACAUUGCGCCCUGUGGUAUUCCGCAGGGCAUGCCUGUUCGAGCGUCAUUUCAACCCUCAAGCCUCGCUUGGUGUUGGGCCCUGCCCGCCGCGGUCGGCCCUAAAGAUAGUGGCGGCGCCGCCUGGCCCUCAGCGUAGUACAGCUCUCGCUCCAGGGUCCGGCGGCAGCCUGCCAGAACCCCCCAACUCUGUGGUUGACCUCGGAUCAGGUAGGGAUACCCGCUGAACUUAAGCAUAUCAAUAAGCGGAGGA